AGAGAAUCCAUAGCCAUAAUCAUACCAAAAACUGUCCAUCAAUGCACUACGGGCCAAUGAGGACUUUUUCCACAUCAUUUGUAACAUUACGGUUAUGAUUACACUGAAUAAUCCCUGGUCAUAAUCAUACCAAGUCCAUCUAUGCACUACAGGCCACAGAUGACUUUCAAAAAAAUAUAAACAUGAGGAUGAUGACAAUGAUAUAAGAAUUCAAUAAAACAAGUUC
RNAcentral lists this long non-coding RNA (226 nucleotides) under Panax ginseng (ginseng). RNAcentral describes it as "long non-coding RNA (PGIN_LNC018792)". Lineage: Eukaryota; Viridiplantae; Streptophyta; Magnoliopsida; Apiales; Araliaceae. The record is from RNAcentral.